Non-coding RNA from Zootermopsis nevadensis, 2489 nucleotides. NCBI's taxonomy places the organism in Eukaryota, Metazoa, Arthropoda, Insecta, Blattodea, Termopsidae. The record is from RefSeq and is a predicted model, not a curated record.
AGCCGGAUAAACAAUACAGCACCAGAGAAUAAUAGCAAGUCACCCAGUCAGAGUUUACCGACAACUGACAGAUGAACAUCGUUCGUCCGCUAAUGUGUUGUUUCGGUGGACGUAAAACAUUCCUUGAUCGAAAAGAAAUUUGUCUGUCUUCCAUGGACCGUGAUCAGUCAAACAUUCUCUUCCGGGAUCACACAGAUUUUGGCGUAAUGUGAUCUGAGGCUGCAACUAAUGAGCUAAUACAAGUUGCGCUGUUACAGUCAAGCGGUGCAGAACUGUGAGAAAGCGGACAGCUUCUAGUCACAGCUGAACACAAACUGAAUACGAGUGUUGCACUAGCACACGCUCCCCCUAGUCCGUCAUCUACUGAACUGUACACACCAGGAAAGUCAAUCCACUUGCCUGUAAAUGGAGUUGGUACAUGGCGGGAGAUAAGUCUGUCACGAAGGAGCAACGCUCAACCCUUGGAGCGUGACAGUGGGAGCUUGAGGGCAUCUUCUGCGACGUCCUGGACGGUACAAACAUCUAGCCUACAGAAAUGUAAGAGUACGGCAUGGAUCCUGGGUCUCCCUCUCAUGUGGCUUGCCAUCAGUUACUGAACUAUAUAACACCCAGACAUCUAACUCAUAUCAUAAAUAAGUUUGUUUAAACACGUUCCAAUUUAAACUUGUAAGUGGUGGAGAGAUUUAAGAACCCUGCACUCAAAUUUCAUCAAACUUUUUCACCUUUCUGGCACACUGUGCACAAAACUGGCCUAUCGUUUGUCCAUUCACAAUAAGAAACUAGUACUGAGCUCAAACCAGGGUAAUAUUCAUAUAUAAAUUCAAAGAUUUUAAAGAAAUUACUUGGAAGUGCGGAUGACACGCUCCUCUAUUUUCAAGUUAAUUUUGGAGAUUCAAAUCCACAACCUUAGACAUCACGACGUCUUGACUUCAGCAUCAUUUCUGCGUGCUGAUUACAGCCUUGCAACCAAGUUGGAAAGUUUCGGAUUGAAUUCCAAGGCUGAUUGUCCCGAGUGCGAUACGAGUCUUUUCAUCAAAACUUUAUUAAUGGGAAUAUAAAACGAUGCAGACACGAAUUCCCUUACAAUUCCUGGAUGUCUCAUAACACAGAUUUAAGACAUUUUAUAGCUAAUUUUAGAGAAAGCUCUAAGGACACACAUAUCAAAAUAAUCAGUAAAAGUAUCCCCAUGCUCAAGCACUUUGCCCUGAAAGAGUACGGGGCGCGCACAAAAAGCUCUACGUAGAUGGUUGCCUUCUGGGUUGUAGCGCCACGUAGUUUGGUAGAAGUUUACCAACCUCUAUCAUCAUUGCCCUGAAGACAGAGGCAACACAGACCUCUAAAACGUCUAUCGGACUACACAACGCUACAUCCCAUCUACAUAUUCACUGACGUAAAAACUCCAAACCGUAAAAGCUCCAAGCAUUCUAGACUUCAAUACUAGAUGGAGGUGAGCGGUGAGCUUUAUGCUCCAGCUGCUUUACCACCGGGGAAACAGGCCCUGAUACACACGAGAUAAUUGACAACGAGCCUAUGAACAUCCUAACGUCAGACUGAACACUGCGAUGGAGAGUCAGGAAUCAAACCUCAUUUCCUCAACUAACAGUCACAUGGAACAAGAGGAUGAUUAAGUGUGGAGAAAUGGAAAGGACGGAGAAAGAAGCGGUCGAAGGCAUUAUCAGACACUGACCUGGACGGACUCAUACAAACCACAAGGUACAUAGCCACUGCGUCUGCGUGAGCCUGUUUGGAGUGAAGCAUUAACAAAAGCCUUCAUAUCCACAUUAAUUAUAAAUUUAUUGUGUGAUAUCUAUGGAGAAAUAAAACUUGUGAACUGUAGGAUGAAGGUAGCCACCGAGAAAAAUGUGAAGGUCAAGAACGAAAUUUAUGUACCAACAAAAAUUUAAAAAAAAACAACUGAAGGACAGUAAAAAUGACUGGUCCAUAAAAGGCUUAUAUUCACCGAUAUAUUUUGUGCGGUGAAAUUACUAUCUGCCUUUGGAUUGGAGGAAGGCUUUUAAACUGUCGUAAGAAAUGUUUACGCAGUGAUGCAUUAAUUUCUUUAUACUUUAAUAAAGUUUACAUGUAAAUAAGCACUAUUUGGUUCUGAAGUUACACGUAUAUAUAAACAAAAAUCAUUUUUCUUUGUUCAUUCAUUGAAAUAAGACGUUAAUGUGCUCACUUAUUCUGUACCAAAGAGGACUAGAUCCAGACCAUUUCACCAAUGAAGUUACGUGGCACCUCUGUGACACGUAAAUUUAACCGUGUUCAAUGAAAGAAAUAUAUUUGUACAAAGAAUAUAACAUUGUAAACAAAAAUGGAAUUUUGUCUUAUGGCAAUAAGUAAAAAGAUCAAAAUUGUCAUUCUGUGCAUUUUAUGAGCUAAUUGACUUCACUGCGUUUCAAUAAGUCAAAUUCUCGAUUCUUAUAAUUCACACUGAUUAAAACAGUAAAUUGCCUUCGGCAGUCUACAAACAUGGAUAGGAAGUUCAC